Brachypodium distachyon (stiff brome) is the source of this 1700-nucleotide long non-coding RNA. RefSeq lists it as uncharacterized. The transcript is spliced from 3 exons. The record is from RefSeq and is a predicted model, not a curated record. NCBI's taxonomy places the organism in Eukaryota, Viridiplantae, Streptophyta, Magnoliopsida, Poales, Poaceae.
AUCCAAAUAGACCAUUUUGAACACUUUAUUCGUAUUGUCAAAGUUGGCUCACUCAUGAUUAAAAACUUCGUACAACAGGAUUAUAGACCACUACAUAUUUCUUUGCAGUACGCAUAGUUUUGUUUUAUUUUUUCAAAAAAUCGAUAUUUCGGUCGGAUAUUUCUUAGUGUAAUAGUAAAAUCACAAAAACAAAUAGGUACUCUUUCCGUUUUAUAAUUUUUGUCUCAAAUGGUCAUGCAACAGAGGGGAUACUCUACUGCUCCAAAUUCGAUGGGGGCAAUUCCGAAGCUACGGAUACAAGUGCGGUUUCCAUGGUGGUCUCCGCCCCUCUCUGCCAGGGCGUCCUGCCCUUCCCCGUCACCGCCGCCGCCAGGGAUUCCUCUGCGGGAUCCCGGAGGGGAAGGCUGUGCAUCGCCGCCGGCUGCCGCUCCGGUCCGGCCACCGCGCCCACGAACGCUGCUCCGGUGGCCGAUGCUGCCCCCGUCAGCAGGAGGAGUUCUAUUCAAAGGCCGUCCAAUCGUUUCUACCUACGGAGUAGCCCAAAUGCGUUGAUCAUGAGUUCUUUUAAUGGUUUGUGGUGAUGAUGGUGAUAGAAGCAUCAGCAGUUCAGCACAACGUUUCUGAAUUGCUGUCCUGCACAAAAUUGAUCAUUAUGUAUUUCAUUUGAAGGUGUGAAUGCUUUGAUCUCCAUCAGUAGAUAGUUCCUUUUGCUGAAUCAUGGGCUAUGCAGAAAGCCAUUGUUACAAGGAGGAAAAUGUUGGUAAGCAUAGAAGAAGCUGAAGAUCACCUGGACACGUCGCACUGCAACAUCGCCUGUUUAUACAUUGGGCACCAGCAGCAGGGAGGAGUACCUCCAUUUCAAUGUAGAAGAUGCUCCCUUUGAGAUUCAUCGCAUUGACCGCGGUGACAUAUCAUGGCCCUGGACAGGUAUUUAUCAGCUAAAUUCGUUGUAUUGUGUACCUGGAAGGCUGGAAAUGCAAUUCACAUUUUUGUACCUGCGCUCGCUAACACCGCAAUAUCCAUGCUUCUCACAAUCACUUCUUUUCAUUCAUUAGCUUGUUAUGUACCUGAUUCUGAAUUUGCGGUAUCAGAAAAUUGAUAGGAAAGGUUACCUCAGGGCACUUGAAAAAGUGAUCAUCCGUGCCCUUCAAUCCGCAUUUUCUAUUAAGGCGUCAACAAAAAAAGGUCUCACUGGUGUUUCGGUUGGUAUGUUGCUUUUUGAAUACUGCAAACUGUUUUAUCAUGUUAUUGCAUACUCUAAUGUAUAUGACCACUCUAUUUCCUCUCCAGGGGAUCAGAAAGUUGCAGGAAUAGGAAUUCAUGUCUCACGACACAUAACAUAUCAUGGUCUAGAACUAAAUGUCACAACUGACUUAACCCCUUUUGAAAGUAUCAUUCCCUGUGGCAUAAAGGACCGUGGUGUCGGGAGCAUUAAGGAGAUAUUACAAAAGUCUUCCAAGGGAACAAAGCUUAAUGAUGAAGAACUUAUGGACAUAGCUUAUAAAUCAUUGAUCCAAGAGUUUUCUGAGGAUUUCCAGCUCUCUAUAGAGCUCAGCCCUGAUUUUUAUAUUCAGCAAGACAACAAUAUCAAGUAACGGCAGCAUGUUUUAUUAGAUCAUAGAACUACACUUCAACGAAGAAGUGCACAAGCAGAUAGCAUAUACAAGCUUUAUUCAGAUGUGUAACCUCCUUCAAUCCAA